UAAAGAAUAUUGGACAAUGGGCGAAAGCCUGAUCCAGCGACGUCGCGUGAGUGUUAAGGCCUUAGGGUUGUAAAGCUCUUUCAGUAGGGAAGAUAAUGACGGUACCUACAGAAGAAGCCCCGGCUAACUUCGUGCCAGCAGCCGCGGUAAUACGAAGGGGGCUAGCGUUACUCGGAAUUAUUGGGCGUAAAGCGUGCGUAGGCGGCUUGAUAAGUUGGAAGUGAAAUCCCGGGGCUUAACCCCGGAACUGCUUUCAAAACUGUCUUGCUAGAGUCCUGGAGAGGAUAGCGGAAUUUCUAGUGUAGAGGUGGAAUUCGUAGAUAUUAGAAAGAACACCGGAGGCGAAGGCGGCUAUCUGGACAGGUACUGACGCUGUUGCACGAAAGCGUGGGGAGCAAACAGG
RNAcentral lists this ribosomal RNA (403 nucleotides) under uncultured Bdellovibrio sp. RNAcentral describes it as "bacterial SSU rRNA". It matches the Rfam family "Bacterial small subunit ribosomal RNA", at positions 355 to 776 of the family's 1533-position model. The record is from RNAcentral. Lineage: Bacteria; Pseudomonadati; Bdellovibrionota; Bdellovibrionia; Bdellovibrionales; Pseudobdellovibrionaceae.